Molecule: long non-coding RNA, 1214 nt
Organism: Amblyraja radiata (thorny skate)
Lineage: Eukaryota; Metazoa; Chordata; Chondrichthyes; Rajiformes; Rajidae
Exons: 4
Source: RefSeq, a predicted model, not a curated record
GAUCUUUGCUCACCACAGGGACCCACCAAGGAGUGAGUGCAGCCUGAGGGAGCACAGCUGCAAAGACCCAUCUUCCUCCAAACCCCUAUCUCCUGUGGUGUUGCUCAGGACUCUUUCGAUGAUGAAUUGUUCUUUGAACAUACUUCUGUUCCACUACAUAAUACAAAAUGCACAGCUCAACUGAUAAGGGUAACCUUCCUGUAACCAGCACUGAUUUUAUUCGGAUGUUAUCACAGAUAAAUUCAGCAGUGAAGAUGACUGUGGUGGAGAGUCCUCUCAGCUAAGACUAGACCGUUGGUCAUGAUAUUCAUCGCUCAUAAAACCCUGCCUUCCUCAACCACGCAGUGACAGGCCUGCCAAGCUGCAACAAGUAAGAAUUUCAUUACUCCAUUGCCAGCACAUCCGGUCAUCAAAUACUAUUGACUCCUGACUAAGCAUAUCUGGGAAAAGGACAGAAGUGUAAGUCAAUGUAAGUCAUAAACUGUAUAGAGAUUGGUAAAGAUGAGUAAUCUCCCACUUCUCCAGUCACCCUGCUCCUUUACCUUCCUUCAUACACUCCCAUCCCAAAAUCCCUCACUGACCUUUUAUCGCCCCCUCUUUCCCCUCCCUCUUGCUUUACAUUUCACUCCUCCAUUUCUCUCCCUACCUGACGCCCUUUUGUCUCCUUUACGCCUCACAUCUUUCUCACUUGCUCCAUCCAUCUGCAAAUAAAACUACCCCCUCACCUGUAUCUACCGAUCAUGUUCCAAACUUUGUCCCACCCCACCUCCCCUUUCCAGCUUUCUUCCCCCAUUACAAACAGUUUGAAGAAGGAUCCCGAACUGAAACAAUGAUUGUCCAAUCCCUCCGCAGAUGCUGCCUGACCCACUGAGUUCCUCCAGCACUUUGUGUUUUGCUAGCAUCUGCAGUUUCUAGCAUCUGCAGUUCCUUGUGUCCCCUGGUAAUAGACUGAUAGUCUAUUGCUUGAUUGGUAAUUAGUUUCCAAUUAGAUUGGAAUCUAUAAGUUGUGAUGACGUCGGAAGGCAGACGGUGGGCGACGGUUGCGCGAUGAUGUCGAGGGGUAAUGGAUGGGCGAGGUCUGAGACGCGGUGACGUCGGUGGGCGAGGCCGAAGUUUGCGCAAUGACGUCGAAGGCGGACGAUGGGCGGGGCCGCGCGAACAUGAUGAUGUCGCGGGCGCUCGGAGGGCGGGGCCACGGGAUGCGACGUUGUCGA